AUGGAAGGCGCCCCUUCCUUCUGCUUUGCUCAGGAACUAGGGCGGCCCAGGGAGCUGCCCGCAUUGUCACCUCCUGUCCCUGAGCUGGCCUCGGAAGGUGUCCGAUACUUGCUGACUGUCGAAGUACAAGCCGGGCCUCCUGGACACAGCCGGCAAUGGCCCAUCCUCCCAGGCUGCCUCCUGGGCCAGCGGUCCACAGCGCGUCACUGUGACCGGUCCACUUGGGGGUCCAGAGCAGGACAAGGGGACGUUGGGAAGCUCGUGGGGAAAGCUCCUGUAAUUCCAUUUUCCACGAGCUUUGAGAAGUGCCCUCCUCCGAUUCAGGGCCGGAAGCCAAGCAGUCUACAUUCACACGUCUCACAUCUCUACACACCACGUGCGCACCGGCACGCACACGCACGCACACGUGCUGAGCUCCGUUGCCUGGCGACUGGUUCACACCGUGGAGUCAGGCCUGGGACGGUUGCACCUGUACGGACCCUGACCCCGGCCAGGUACCCUGAGUGCUGUCCACGUGGCUUAAAGCAGCCUUCACGUAAAAAGGGCCGUGAGCACCCCUGGAUCCUGGCUUCCAGCGGGCCCAUGGCAUCGGGUCCCUGCAGGCUCUCUGGAAACGGUGACUCGCUCUCCGCCUCCGACCCCGAGGGCAGCAGAGGAAGCGGAAGCUGGCGUCUGGCCGGGCAGUGCCUCCCCAGGACGAUUUCCAGGAUGCGGCUGCACACAGACCCAGCGCACGCUGCGGGGCACGGGAUUCCUGCGAGGCGCAGGCGUUCGUCACACUGCCCAGGUUCCACUGCGACACCCACAUCGCCCGUCGGAGGGCUCGGCUUGCAGUCCCAGCUCUGUCUGCACUCCGGCUUCCUGCUAACUGGCACCCGGGGAGGCAGCGGUGGUGGCUCUAGGGGUUGCGCCCCUGCCACCCACGUGGGAGACCUGGACGGAGUUCCCGGCUCCAGGGUUUGGCCUGGCCCAGCCCCGACGGUUGCUGUGUCGCAGCCGCAGUGUCCGCCUGGCCGGGCCGCCCGGAACCCCUGCUCGGCUGCUCCUGGCUGUGCUGGGCAGGGUCGUCCUCCACACUCCCCACCCAGGGUUCUCCACACUCCUCACCCAGGCUCCUGACCCACGCGGCCCAGGAAGGGAGAACCUGGAGGGGAAGGCCCCUCCCGCCGCCUCCACCUUGCAUCUCUGAACGCUGUGGGUUCCUAAGCCGGCCGGCCGGAGGAUGGGCUGACUUCCUGCCCCAGCCCCUCUGGCCAGGAACGCGCCCACGGGGGUAGCGGCUUCAUUUGGAGGUUUGUUCAUUUCCGUUCCAGAGGCUGGAAGUCCAAGGCCAGUGUGGGUGGGGCUGGUGGCCCUCAGAUUCCAGGGCACGUCCUUCCUGCCCUGGCUGUGCCCACCUCGGCCACAUCCUGCAGCCUCCACCCUGAGGUCGUGGCUCCGCCUCCUCUAGCUCCAGUCUCCGCCUCUGAGGUCAUAUGGCUCCGCCUCCUCUGUAGUCAGCCACCCCAGCCGCCCUGUUGCUGGACCCUGCGGCAGUGCUAGGGCCCUGGGCUACUGAACUGAAGACGACCCCCCCACCUCGAGACCCUUCCCUGAGGUCACACCAGGGCCCUGCCUCCUGCUGGGUCCUCUCUCCCCCACCCAGGACAUCCCACACACCUGGCUUUACCUCAGGCGGGAGUGGGGGUCCCCCAUGGUCUCGGGCCUGUGUCAGGCCCACCAUCUUGGCUGGGAGGGAAAGGGCAGCUCUGGGGCAGGAACAGUGGUGUCCCCGUCCCACUCACCCCUGCUCAGAGGGGUGGCGGCCUCUCUGCCCCACGAUGAGCCAUCCACAGGUCGCAGUCCCUGUGGCUGUGGCCAUCAGCCAGCGUCCCCGGGGCGCCCUUGGGUGCUGGGCGGUCAGGGUGGGGUGCAGCCA
RNAcentral lists this long non-coding RNA (1918 nucleotides) under Oryctolagus cuniculus (rabbit). RNAcentral's name for it is "lncRNA (ENSOCUG00000037057.1)". Lineage: Eukaryota; Metazoa; Chordata; Mammalia; Lagomorpha; Leporidae. The record is from RNAcentral.